This 443-nucleotide ribosomal RNA is filed under the name uncultured bacterium. RNAcentral's name for it is "partial 16S ribosomal RNA". It matches the Rfam family "Bacterial small subunit ribosomal RNA", at positions 338 to 795 of the family's 1533-position model. The record is from RNAcentral.
CCUACGGGAGGCAGCAGUGGGGAAUAUUGGGCAAUGGGCGCAAGCCUGACCCAGCAACGCCGCGUGAAGGAAGAAGGCUUUCGGGUUGUAAACUUCUUUUAUUGAGGACGAAACAAAUGACGGUACUCAAUGAAUAAGCCACGGCUAACUACGUGCGAGCAGCCGCGGUAAUACGUGGGUGGCAAGCGUUAUCCGGAUUUACUGGGUGUAAAGGGCGUGUAGGCGGGACUGCAAGUCAGAUGUGAAACCCAUGGGCUCAAACCAUGGAAUGCAUUUGAAACUGUAGGUCUAGAGUGAUGUAGAGGAAGGCGGAAUUCCGUGUGUAGCGGUGAAAUGCGUAGAUAUAUGGAGGAACACCAGUGGCGAAGGCGGCGUGCUGGACAUUAACUGACGCUGAGGCGCGAAAGCGUGGGGAGCAAAUAGGAUUAGAUACCCCGGUAGUC